UGGGGAAUUUUGCACAAUGGGGGAAACCCUGAUGCAGCGACGCCGCGUGAUUUAGAAGGCCUUCGGGUUGUAAAAAUCUUUUCUAUGGGAAGAAAAUGACAGUACCAUAGGAAUAAGGACCGGCUAAUUACGUGCCAGCAGCCGCGGUAAUACGUAAGGUCCGAGCGUUGUCCGGAAUCAUUGGGCGUAAAGGGUACGUAGGCGGGUAAGCAAGUUAGAAGUGAAAUCCUGUAGCUCAACUACAGUAAGCUUUUAAAACUGCUCAUCUUGAGAUAUGGAAGGGAAAGUGGAAUUCCUAGUGUAGCGGUGAAAUGCGCAGAUAUUAGGGGGAAUACCGGUGGCGAAGGCGACUUUCUGGCCAUAAUCUGACGCUGAGGUACGAAAGCGUGGGUAGCAAACAGG
This 402-nucleotide ribosomal RNA is filed under the name Bacteroidota bacterium. RNAcentral's name for it is "Bacteroidetes bacterium partial 16S ribosomal RNA". It matches the Rfam family "Bacterial small subunit ribosomal RNA", at positions 355 to 776 of the family's 1533-position model. RNAcentral also lists the same sequence under 1 other name. The record is from RNAcentral. Lineage: Bacteria; Pseudomonadati; Bacteroidota.